UGACGGUACCUGCAGAAGAAGCGCCGGCUAACUACGUGCCAGCAGCCGCGGUAAUACGUAGGGCGCAAGCGUUAUCCGGAUUUAUUGGGCGUAAAGGGCUCGUAGGCGGUUUGUCGCGUCUGCCGUGAAAGUCCGAGGCUCAACCUCGGAUCUGCGGUGGGUACGGGCAGACUAGAGUGAUGUAGGGGAGACUGGAAUUCCUGGUGUAGCGGUGAAAUGCGCAGAUAUCAGGAGGAACACCGAUGGCGAAGGCAGGUCUCUGGGCAUUUACUGACGCUGAGGAGCGAAAGCAUGGGGAGCGAACAGGAUUAGAUACCCUGGUAGUCCAUGCCGUAAACGUUGGGCACUAGGUGUGGGGGACAUUCCACGUUUUCCGCGCCGUAGCUAACGCAUUAAGUGCCCCGCCUGGGGAGUACGGCCGCAAGGCUAAAACUCAAAGGAAUUGACGGGGGCCCGCACAAGCGGCGGAGCAUGCGGAUUAAUUCGAUGCACCGCGAAGAACCUUACCAAGGCUUGACAUGUGCCANACCGCCUCAAANAUGGGGUUUCCCNUUCNGGGCUGGUUCACAGGUGGUGCAUGGUUGUCNUC
This 589-nucleotide ribosomal RNA is filed under the name uncultured bacterium. Its description in RNAcentral is "bacterial SSU rRNA". It matches the Rfam family "Bacterial small subunit ribosomal RNA", at positions 470 to 1056 of the family's 1533-position model. The record is from RNAcentral.